This 290-nucleotide ribosomal RNA is filed under the name uncultured bacterium. RNAcentral's name for it is "partial 16S ribosomal RNA". It matches the Rfam family "Bacterial small subunit ribosomal RNA", at positions 338 to 626 of the family's 1533-position model. The record is from RNAcentral.
CCUACGGGGGGCAGCAGUGAGGAAUAUUGGUCAAUGGGAGAGAUCCUGAACCAGCCAAGCCGCGUGAGGGAAGACGGCCCUAUGGAUUGUAAACCUCUUUUGUCGGGGAGCAAAAGACGCCACGCGUGGCGUUCCAAGAGCACCCGAAGAAAAAGCAUCGGCUAACUCCGUGCCAGCAGCCGCGGUAAUACGGAGGAUGCGAGCGUUAUCCGGCUUUAUUGGGUUUAAAGGGUGCGCAGGCGGACGAUCAAGUCAGCGGUAAAAUUGAGAGGCUCAACCUCUUCGAGCCG